ACACCUCAACUCUCAUGGUUUGCCAUGAUGAGCUUGGACUUUGGAGGCUUUGCUGGCCUGUGGUCGGCUCCUCUUAAACGAAUCAGCUUACCGGUGUAUUGGUGGCGUCACAGGUGUGAUAACUAUCUACGCUUGUGGUCGUCCGCCAGAGAACCUCUGGCAUCGUCGGAGGUUUUCCGGGGCUCAUAAACGUCUCCCAAGCGAAGACAGCCUUCUGAAC
This 220-nucleotide unclassified non-coding RNA is filed under the name uncultured Tomentella. RNAcentral's name for it is "sequence contains ITS2". Lineage: Eukaryota; Fungi; Basidiomycota; Agaricomycetes; Thelephorales; Thelephoraceae. The record is from RNAcentral.